This 241-nucleotide ribosomal RNA is filed under the name uncultured bacterium. RNAcentral describes it as "partial 16S ribosomal RNA". It matches the Rfam family "Bacterial small subunit ribosomal RNA", at positions 524 to 763 of the family's 1533-position model. The record is from RNAcentral.
UACGGAGGGGGCUAGCGUUGUUCGGAAUUACUGGGCGUAAAAGCGCACGUAGGCGGCUUUGUAAGUUAGAGGUGAAAGCCCAGGGCUUAACCCUGGAAUUGCCUUUAAGACUGCAUCGCUAGAAUCGUGGAGAGGUGAGUGGAAUUCCGAGUGUAGAGGUGAAAUUCGUAGAUAUUCGCAAGAACACCAGUGGCGAAGGCGGCUUACUGGUCCGUUCUGACGCUGAGGCGGCGAAAGCGUG